CCCAAUCUACGCGCAUCUAAAUUUAUAAAACUUAAUGGCUUAAUCGUUAAUGACUAACUAUAGUGCAUAUGUCAUAUCAUUUUAAAAAUGUUCAGACAGGAUUAAAGAUGUGACGUGUCAUAUCUUGCAUGGUGAUUCCGUUUGGAUACUUGUGCUAAAUAUGGGAACAGAGAGAGAAAGACAAUCAGCAAAAUAUGUCUUCGAAAAACUGGCAGACAAAACUACUGGUCUGUUACCCAACACACGAGAAAUCUGGACCAGUGUGGCAAGGUUGCUGGGUAUUGAAUCUACCGAAGCGAAGAUUUCGUAUUGUAUAUCUCAAGCCGGUGCAGGUGACGGAAUCACGAUGAGGGAUUUUGUUGACAUUUUGCCAUGCUUGGAAUCGAAACAGACGGAUUUGCAUACGGAGUUGCCAGUGAAAAGAAUGCUUUAUACCGACUAUUUGUGUUCAAAUUGAAAACCCGAUGUGCUUGAUUUUGUCGUCGCUUGCUUAUAUCUCACAUGCCAUAAAUUCUACAUUUCUAUUUUAGAGCAAACGGAGGACCAAAUCGUUUAGAAGAGUUAAUUCUGAUGGCCAGAAUCGCUCUUUGGAGGUCAGGUGGGAAGAAGAUAGAAAGAAAAUUAAGGUGAGUAUAUAUUCCAAUCUACUCCUGAAACAUAAUAUUGGUUCAUUUUACAAUACAUGUAUAUUAUUUCUUUCUUAUUCCGUUCGUUUUUACUUGUCGCUCUUUUAAGCAGCUGUUUUAAACAAAAAUGUAUCACUACAAGUUUUUUUCUGUCUCAUCUGCCUUGACCACCGCAUCGGUAGCGUCCGCUUCGAGUGCGGGAGGUCGUGGGUUCGAUCCCCGGCCGCGUCAUACCAAAGACGUAAAAAAUGGUACUAAGUAGCUUAUCGCUUGGCGCUCAGCAUUGAGAGGAUAGUGAGAACUGGUUAGCCGGGUGUCGGUAUAAUGUGACUGGGUGGGGUAUCAUGCCACGAGUCUGCGGCGUGAUAUUCCAGUGAGAUAUCACUAUAAAGUUGGGCAUUGUGCUCACUGCUAGAAGAAGACACCGACGUUUAUAUGACUGAAAAAAUGUUGAAAAAGACGUUAAACCCGAACACACACGCUCGCACGCACGCAAACACCUCUGCCUUGACUAUGAUAAACAGUAUGACUCUCUGGUAUGUUGGUAUUUCCACAAUCAUACCUAGGCUGUUUUGGGUUAUAUUGACUUGACAGAAAUCAAAAACAGACUGUAUGCUAACCUUUGAUUACAUAAAAAUUAUGAAUUUGAUGUGACGUUACUUGGUUUGGACUCAGUGCUAUUAUUAUGUUUGGUCACUUGGAUCAUACAGUCAAUUCAAUAUAACUACAUUGUCAUGAUAAAAUUUCAUUUCAGCCGGUGUUAGGGGCCGUUAGAGGUGUAACUUUGCUUCCAAAAGAUCACGUUAUAAAUGUUUUAAACAUUAUCUCGAAUUAGUGCGUUCUUAGAGCUAUUCUAACAUAACAUGACCUUGAUAUUUCUUUUAACUUUUAAUACGUUCUAAUUUGUCUUGAAUGCACACGGUUUCAGACCGCGUACUUUCGAAUUUCAUUCAAACAUUAUAGUUAACAAAUCUAGUAAUGAACUAAAUGUCAUUUUGAUAACAAAAUGGUGGAAUGCCAUCCAUGAUUAAUUUACUUUUACUAUUUUAUGCAGCACUGUAAGUAAAUUUAUUGUCCCGGAAUGUUAAACGUGGAAUUCUAAUAUAUUCAGAAGCUUUUAGAAUUUAACACAUCGAUUAAAAAUUAAGGGGUAACCGUAUUAUUUACUUCAGUAUGACCAUAAUUCGCUGUGUUCUUUAUUUUCCAGAAUAAAAGGAAGGUUUGUAUAAAUAAAACAUUUAAAUUUUUUAUUUUAUUUAGUUAAAAGGAACUACACUGCCGAGAUAUGAAAACGCAACAAAUAUAUGC
Long non-coding RNA from Mercenaria mercenaria, 1934 nucleotides. RefSeq lists it as uncharacterized. The record is from RefSeq and is a predicted model, not a curated record. The transcript has 8 exons. Lineage: Eukaryota; Metazoa; Mollusca; Bivalvia; Venerida; Veneridae.